CUGAGUGGCAAACGGGUGAGUAUAAUGUGGGAAUCUGCCUUUUGGUUCGGAAUAACACGAGGAAACUUGUGCUAAUACCGGAUAAGUCCUUACGGAGAAAGUUUUAAUGCCAAAAGAUGAGCCCGCAUUUGAUUAGUUUGUUGGUGAGGUAAUGGCUCACCAAGACUACAAUCAAUAGCUGAUUUGAGAGGAUGAUCAGCCACAUUGGGACUGAGACACGGCCCAGACUCC
RNAcentral lists this ribosomal RNA (231 nucleotides) under uncultured bacterium. RNAcentral describes it as "partial 16S ribosomal RNA". It matches the Rfam family "Bacterial small subunit ribosomal RNA", at positions 91 to 339 of the family's 1533-position model. The record is from RNAcentral.